CUUGGCAGGUCUUAAAUUAUUUUAAAAUAUUUAAAUAAUUUAACCUUUAAUUCACCUAUCCCAACAUGGCUACCGUGCGAGCACCUAUCAAAACCUUGAUGAAAAUAACAAACCGAAAAUCCAUUUGACCUUGGACGUGCCCCGUGCCGGUGCACUGGCCUUAGGGGUGCUGAAGAACUUGAUUUGGAUGCCGGCGGCGGCGACGACAGUGCGCCGGCGCACAUCUCUAUGGAGGUGGACACGGCGACCCUUGGGCGACCGCCGCUGCCGCGGUUUGCUACAGGUGGCGAUGGCCACUAAUCUGUUGGAGGAGGCGCCCCCGGCACAGGUCCCAACCGCCGGAGACGCGGCAGAGACCGGGCAGUGGGCUGGCUUCCAGUCGCGAUACGACGCGGUCGUGACAGCGUCUCAGUACACAGGAGCCGCGGCUGUGGACGAUUGUUGAGAGACGGCGCGGGGCACCGAUAGAAGCUUGUCUGCUAGAGAUCAAAUCCUGUCUGCUGGUGGUAUAUAAUGCCGCGUAGGCGCUAAUGCCGCACUUCUCGCUCUCGAUCACCUCCAGCAGUCGCGCGGCGUACCUACGCUCGCUGCUCCUCGAGUAGAUGGGGCGGCAGCGGCGCGGGCGGAGCCUGUGGAGGUGGUGGCGAGGGCGACACAACUCUGAAGCUUUGGAAAAAAAGCUGAUAAUACAUACUAUAUAAUAAUAAUACAUACUAUAUAAAAAAAAUGCUGAUAAUGCAUACUACAUACUAAAGCUGAUAAUACAAUAUAUACGAGCGGAAGCGGCGCGCGCACAGCGCCAGCACCGUGUCGAGAUCCUCCGGCGGCCUGCGCUCGUCGCUGAGCGUAUGUAGACUACUUGUGUCUUGUAGACAGUAGAGCUCGUCUUGACGGCGAAAUGUCAUUGUCCAAUUUUUCACUGUCCGGCGACCGCGGGAUGACAUUAACACUGUAUGUCACGCCGUGCACAUUA
Amphibalanus amphitrite is the source of this 973-nucleotide long non-coding RNA. RefSeq lists it as uncharacterized. The transcript has 2 exons. Lineage: Eukaryota; Metazoa; Arthropoda; Thecostraca; Balanomorpha; Balanidae. The record is from RefSeq and is a predicted model, not a curated record.